Melitaea cinxia (Glanville fritillary) is the source of this 513-nucleotide long non-coding RNA. RefSeq lists it as uncharacterized. Lineage: Eukaryota; Metazoa; Arthropoda; Insecta; Lepidoptera; Nymphalidae. The transcript is spliced from 4 exons. The record is from RefSeq and is a predicted model, not a curated record.
GAUAAGCAAAAUUAUAAGUGAAUUAUACAGUUUACAAUAAAACCAUGCAAAUAUUGAAUAUGCUUAAAAUAGUUGAAAUAUAAUUAAUCACUUUAUGUAAAUAUGAAGAAUUCUCGACUUUGUAUCUACUGGCUUUUAUUUCUUCUGAUACAGGUUGUAGGCGCCUUUGCCUGUAAGCGUAAGUCCUCUUGUCGCCCGCCCCGCUGUCCUGGCGGCUGCAAGCCUAAAUACUGGUGAUGAGAAGUAUUUCAGUUGUGACAUAAGCUGACGGAAUUAUGGAGUGGUCACUCGCAUAUCAGUACGUAUGGUGGGUGGCGUGGUGCGUGGUGUGUCUGGUGGUGGGGGCGAGCAGUUGUAAGAAGAAGACAAUUUGCCGCCCACCGCCUGGAGGCAGACCGGGCUGCGGGGGCGGGCGGAGAUGAGUACGAUUCGCCAAUUCAUUAACUUUGUCCAAAACUCAAGAAAAGUAAAAAUUGAAAACGUCACAAAUAAAACAAAUUUAAUUUUUGUGGA